This 691-nucleotide ribosomal RNA is filed under the name Cladosporium sp. TU09. RNAcentral's name for it is "eukaryotic LSU rRNA". It matches the Rfam family "Eukaryotic large subunit ribosomal RNA", at positions 87 to 804 of the family's 3401-position model. Lineage: Eukaryota; Fungi; Ascomycota; Dothideomycetes; Cladosporiales; Cladosporiaceae. The record is from RNAcentral.
CGGCGAGUGAAGCAGCAAUAGCUCAAAUUUGAAAUCUGGCGUCUUCGACGUCCGAGUUGUAAUUUGUAGAGGAUGCUUCUGAGUAACCACCGACCUAAGUUCCUUGGAACAGGACGUCAUAGAGGGUGAGAAUCCCGUAUGCGGUCGGAAAGGUGCUCUACACGUAGCUCCUUCGACGAGUCGAGUUGUUUGGGAAUGCAGCUCUAAAUGGGAGGUAAAUUUCUUCUAAAGCUAAAUAUUGGCCAGAGACCGAUAGCGCACAAGUAGAGUGAUCGAAAGAUGAAAAGCACUUUGGAAAGAGAGUUAAAAAGCACGUGAAAUUGUUAAAAGGGAAGGGAUUGCAACCAGACUUGCUCGCGGUGUUCCGCCGGUCUUCUGACCGGUCUACUCGCCGCGUUGCAGGCCAGCAUCGUCUGGUGCCGCUGGAUAAGACUUGAGGAAUGUAGCUCCCUCGGGAGUGUUAUAGCCUCUUGUGAUGCAGCGAGCGCCGGGCGAGGUCCGCGCUUCGGCUAGGAUGCUGGCGUAAUGGUCGUAAUCCGCCCGUCUUGAAACACGGACCAAGGAGUCUAACAUCUAUGCGAGUGUUCGGGUGUCAAACCCCUACGCGUAAUGAAAGUGAACGGAGGUGAGAACCGCAAGGUGCAUCAUCGACCGAUCCUGAUGUCUUCGGAUGGAUUUGAGUAAGAGCAUA